GCUUACGGCCACACCGGCCUGAGUACGCCUGAUCUCGUCCGAUCUCGGAAGCUAAGCAGGGUCGGGCCUGGUAGUACUUGGAUGGGAGACCGCCUGGGAAUACCAGGUGCUGUAAGCU
Ribosomal RNA from Oncorhynchus mykiss (rainbow trout), 118 nucleotides. The record is from Ensembl. Lineage: Eukaryota; Metazoa; Chordata; Actinopteri; Salmoniformes; Salmonidae.